This 255-nucleotide ribosomal RNA is filed under the name uncultured bacterium. RNAcentral describes it as "partial 16S ribosomal RNA". It matches the Rfam family "Bacterial small subunit ribosomal RNA", at positions 524 to 777 of the family's 1533-position model. The record is from RNAcentral.
UACGAAGGGGGCUAGCGUUGCUCGGAAUUACUGGGCGUAAAGCGCGCGCAGGCGGUUCUCCAAGUCAGUGGUGAAAGCCCAGGGCUCAACCCUGGAAUAGCCUUCGAUACUGGAUGUCUUGAGUUCGGGAGAGGUGAGUGGAAUGCCGAGUGUAGAGGUGAAAUUCGUAGAUAUUCGGCGGAACACCAGUGGCGAAGGCGACUCACUGGCCCGAUACUGACGCUGAGGCGCGAAAGCGUGGGGGAGCAAACAGGG